UCGAGUGAACAGACGAGGAGCUUGCUCCUCUGACGUUAGCGGCGGACGGGUGAGUAACACGUGGAUAACCUACCUAUAAGACUGGGAUAACUUCGGGAAACCGGAGCUAAUACCGGAUAAUAUAUUGAACCGCAUGGUUCAAUAGUGAAAGACGGUUUUGCUGUCACUUAUAGAUGGAUCCGCGCCGCAUUAGCUAGUUGGUAAGGUAACGGCUUACCAAGGCAACGAUGCGUAGCCGACCUGAGAGGGUGAUCGGCCACACUGGAACUGAGACACGGUCCAGACUCCUACGGGAGGCAGCAGUAGGGAAUCUUCCGCAAUGGGCGAAAGCCUGACGGAGCAACGCCGCGUGAGUGAUGAAGGUCUUCGGAUCGUAAAACUCUGUUAUUAGGGAAGAAUAAAUGUGUAAGUAACUAUGCACGUCUUGACGGUACCUAAUCAGAAAGCCACGGCUAACUACGUGCCAGCAGCCGCGGUAAUACGUAGGUGGCAAGCGUUAUCCGGAAUUAUUGGGCGUAAAGCGCGCGUAGGCGGUUUUUUAAGUCUGAUGUGAAAGCCCACGGCUCAACCGUGGAGGGUCAUUGGAAACUGGAAAACUUGAGUGCAGAAGAGGAAAGUGGAAUUCCAUGUGUAGCGGUGAAAUGCGCAGAGAUAUGGAGGAACACCAGUGGCGAAGGCGACUUUCUGGUCUGUAACUGACGCUGAUGUGCGAAAGCGUGGGGAU
Molecule: ribosomal RNA, 724 nt
Filed under: uncultured Staphylococcus sp.
Lineage: Bacteria; Bacillati; Bacillota; Bacilli; Caryophanales; Staphylococcaceae
Description: bacterial SSU rRNA
Rfam family: Bacterial small subunit ribosomal RNA
Source: RNAcentral